GCUGUUAAGUAAAAUAAACAUUAAAUUUGGACUGGAUGUCAUUUACACGGAACCUACAUGGGCAAGUAAGCCAACCGCACCUCGUCCAGCUUGACCAUCUUGCUGCACGUCGGACAUUUGUUGUUUGUUUCGAUGACCUUGGUGAUGCA
This is a long non-coding RNA of Bradysia coprophila, 149 nucleotides long. The record is from RefSeq and is a predicted model, not a curated record. Lineage: Eukaryota; Metazoa; Arthropoda; Insecta; Diptera; Sciaridae.